Molecule: ribosomal RNA, 690 nt
Filed under: uncultured bacterium
Lineage: Bacteria
Description: bacterial SSU rRNA
Rfam family: Bacterial small subunit ribosomal RNA
Source: RNAcentral
AACGCUAGCUACAGGCUUAACACAUGCAAGUCGAGGGGCAGCACAGUGUAGCAAUACACGGGUGGCGACCGGCGCACGGGUGCGUAACGCGUAUCCAACCUUCCCGUUACUCUUGGAUAGCCUUCCGAAAGGGAGAUUAAUACAAGAUGGUAUUCAAAUUCCGCAUGUUAUUUGAAUUAAAGAUUUAUCGGUAACGGAUGGGGAUGCGUGACAUUAGAUAGUAGGCGGGGUAACGGCCCACCUAGUCUACGAUGUCUAGGGGUUCUGAGAGGAAGGUCCCCCACACUGGAACUGAGACACGGUCCAGACUCCUACGGGAGGCAGCAGUGAGGAAUAUUGGUCAAUGGUCGGAAGACUGAACCAGCCAAGUAGCGUGAAGGAUGAAGGUUCUAUGGAUUGUAAACUUCUUUUAUACGGGAAUAAAACCACCUACGUGUAGGUGCUUGUAUGUACCGUAUGAAUAAGCAUCGGCUAACUCCGUGCCAGCAGCCGCGGUAAUACGGAGGAUGCGAGCGUUAUCCGGAUUUAUUGGGUUUAAAGGGAGCGUAGACGGGGGAUUAAGUCAGUUGUGAAAGGCUGCGGCUCAACCGCAGCACUGCAGUUGAUACUGGUUUUCUUGAGUGCGGUUGAGGUAUGUGGAAUUCGUGGUGUAGCGGUGAAAUGCUUAGAUAUCACGAAGAACUCCGAUUG